UAUACAGAUGCUUUGAAAUAGUAUUAGAAAUUAAGAGGGUGGCAGGGAAAACGGCAAAAAUCGUCUUUUUCGGUUUUCAAAGCGCCGUGGAAGGACGCUGAAGGGGAAGAAAAUGAAAAAGUGAGAGAGAAGAGUGAGGGAGG
Caenorhabditis elegans is the source of this 143-nucleotide non-coding RNA. The record is from Ensembl. NCBI's taxonomy places the organism in Eukaryota, Metazoa, Nematoda, Chromadorea, Rhabditida, Rhabditidae.